CGGACGGCAGCUUACACAUGCAGUCGAGCGCACUCUUCGGAGUGAGCGGCGGACGGGUUAGUAACGCGUGGGAACGUGCCCUUCUCUAAGGAAUAGCCACUGGAAACGGUGAGUAAUACCUUAUACGCCCUUCGGGGGAAAGAUUUAUCGGAGAAGGAUCGGCCCGCGUUAGAUUAGAUAGUUGGUGGGGUAAUGGCCUACCAAGUCUACGAUCUAUAGCUGGUUUUAGAGGAUGAUCAGCAACACUGGGACUGAGACACGGCCCAGACUCCUACGGGAGGCAGCAGUGGGGAAUCUUGGACAAUGGGCGCAAGCCUGAUCCAGCCAUGCCGCGUGAGUGAUGAAGGCCUUAGGGUCGUAAAGCUCUUUCGCCAGAGAUGAUAAUGACAGUAUCUGGUAAAGAAACCCCGGCUAACUCCGUGCCAGCAGCCGCGGUAAUACGGAGGGGGUUAGCGUUGUUCGGAAUUACUGGGCGUAAAGCGCACGUAGGCGGAUCAGAAAGUAUAGGGUGAAAUCCCAGGGCUCAACCCUGGAACUGCCUUGUAAACUCCUGGUCUUGAGUUCGAGAGAGGUGAGUGGAAUUCCGAGUGUAGAGGUGAAAUUCGUAGAUAUUCGGAGGAACACCAGUGGCGAAGGCGGCUCACUGGCUCGAUACUGACGCUGAGGUGCGAAAGUGUGGGGAGCAAACAGGAUUAGAUACCCUGGUAGUC
RNAcentral lists this ribosomal RNA (710 nucleotides) under Phaeobacter sp. Its description in RNAcentral is "bacterial SSU rRNA". It matches the Rfam family "Bacterial small subunit ribosomal RNA", at positions 40 to 795 of the family's 1533-position model. Lineage: Bacteria; Pseudomonadati; Pseudomonadota; Alphaproteobacteria; Rhodobacterales; Roseobacteraceae. The record is from RNAcentral.